UCAGAUUUGAUCAUCCUCUGCAUAGACCCAACCGAAGUAUCUCCACUUCAUCUUCUUCCCCUACAAUGACACAACCCCACUUCAUUGUGAUAACCUAUCCGGCACAAGGCCACAUCAACCCUUCUCUCCAACUGGCUAAGCGCCUCAUACGUGUUGGUGCCCAUGUCACAUUCGUCACUAGCACCUAUGCCAGUGAGCGCAUGGCCAAAACCCCAACCAUGGAUGGGUUAAAAUUCGUCACAUUCCCGGAUGGCUGCGACAGUGGCCUCAAGCAAAGCGAUGCCCUCCAAGGCUUCAUGUCUGAGCUUGAGCGUCUUGGCUCCCAAGCUCUUACCGACCUCCUCAUAGCCAGCGCUAAUGAAGGUCGUCCCGUUGCUUGCAUAAUCUACGGCAUCCUGAUUCCUUGGGUAGCAGAGGUGGCGCAUAGUCUUCACAUCCCCUCCGCACUUUUUUGGAGUCAACCUGUCUCUGUUUUUAAUAUCUAUUAUUAUUAUUUUUGUGGCUAUGGAGAGCUCAUUCGCAAGAAAGUCCGUGACUCCUCGCCUUCCAUUGAAUUACCAGGACUGCCCUUGCUCAGUAGCCGUGACAUUCCCUGUUUCCUACUCCCCUCAAAUGCAAAUGAAUACAACUUCGUCCUUUCAGCGUUUGAGAAGCACCUAGAGAUGCUCCACCGUGAUACCAACCCAACGGUACUGAUAAACACUUUCGAUGCAUUGGAACCAGAGGCCCUAAGGGCCGUCAGUAAGUUUAAGUCGAUUGGAGUUGGACCCUUGUUUCCAACCGCUUUCUUGGGUGGAAAAGAUCCAUCCGAUACUUCAUUUGGAGGUGAUCUUUUCCGUCGUUCAAAGGAUUAUAUUGAAUGGCUGAACUCAAAGCCUGAAUCUUCUGUCAUUUACGUGUCAUUUGGAAGCCUAGCGGUGUUAUCGAAGCAACAGUCUGAGGAGAUUGCUCGUGGAUUGCUGGACAGUGGCCGGCCUUUCCUGUGGGUCAUAAGAGCCAAGGAGAAGGGAGAAGAAGAGAAAGAAGAAGAUAAACUAAGUUGCUACGCAGAAUUAGAACAACAAGGGAUGAUAGUACCAUGGUGUUCUCAGGUUGAGGUUCUCUCAAAUCCAUCACUGGGUUGUUUCGUGACUCAUUGUGGGUGGAAUUCAACCUUGGAGAGCUUGGCUUCUGGGGUGCCAGUUGUGGCAUUUCCUCAGUGGACCGACCAAUCCACGAAUGCAAAGCUAGCCGAAGACGUGUGGAAAACGGGUGUACGGGUGACCGUGAACCAAGAAGGAAUAGUUGAAAGCGAUGAGAUUAAGAGGUGCUUGGAAUUGGUCAUGGGAGAUGGAGAGGAGGCGAAAGAAAUGAGAAGGAAUGCAAAGAAAUGGAAGGGUUUGGCAAGGGAGGCUGUGAUGGAAGGUGGAUCAUCUGACAAGAAUCUUAAGAAUUUUAUGGAUGAGGUCAUACAAGGUUACUAGCUAGAUAUUGUGGUUGUAUCUCUUGGAGUUUAUGUUAAGACUCCCCGAUUAAUUUAAAUAUUUUACAAGAAGAUUUUUAUUAUUUAUGAUGUUAAUACAAGUAGUAGUAUUAAUUAAUGGUAGAGGGCAUAUCUAAAAUUAUGGGAGAUUCAUUGCUUCCUGAAGGCCCUAUCACAAAGGAUCUGUCAAAUGCGUGGCUAAGGUGCUGUUUGGUAAAUGUCCGUUACCAGCCAAAAUUUUGCAAUUAUUGCUAAUGGGAAUCAGGGAAACCCCAAACUGGCCUUGAUGGUCCUUGCGUAAAGACCCAUCCAAUUCUUUACAUUGUGGCCACUGAUUUGGUGUCUUAUCCUCUCAUGCCCAUCACUUCAUGUUUACAAAUUGAUAUUGUAUUCAUAGCUAUUUUUGAUGAAGGUUCAAUUGGCAAGAAGUAUUUUUGCCUUGGGAAGAUGUUGGUUAUGGAUUCAAAGCAAAAUAACAGAUUAAAAAAAUGAUCCUUGUACAAAUUUUUGGGUGCCUCUAUUAAUUAAGUGAAUAUUAUUAUUUAAUUGAUAAAUUAAUAAUUUAUUAAUUUAAUUACUUAUUAAUUAAAUCUCUGGAAUAAUUCUAUUAUGGAACCUAUCUUGCACUAAGAAGCAUCCAUAGCGAUAAUAAUAUUAAAUAAAUUUUUGUUAUAGUACGAGAAUGUUACAUCAGACCUUUUUUUUUUUUUUUUUUUUUUCAUAUUAGGAAUAGUUGAAGAUGAGAUUCAAGUAAACAUCAGUUUUAAGAAGAAAUAACACAUAUAUUUUAAGAAGGAUUCUUGAUAAAACAUAUGAAUUUAAUUACACAUUAGAAAAUUAUUAAUUUCUAUAAUAUGUGGAUUUUAUAUGAAACUACAUAGAUUUUUUAUUUUAUAAAUUUAUCAAAUUAUUAGUUUAGCACGGUGGCCCCAAGUUUAGAUUAAUUAAAAAAAAUUAAUUGAAGUUCUUAAUUAAUUAAAUAUUAAAUUAUUAUAAAGUUUUAUUGUAUUUUAUUUUCAUGGUUCUAAAAAUUGGAUUGAACUAGUCGAUUUGAUUGGUUUGAGCAUUGAUUGACUAUGUAUUUUACAUAUGAGAUCGAUUAUGAGUUGCACUUUCAUCCCAAGGUAUUUUAAAAUUAGGAAAAUCAAUCCCAAGGUAUCUAUUUUUCUUUUCUUAGUCUAUUCACUAUUGUCCAAACACUCCAUAUGUGGAAUGUGGAAUGUAACUUGGAGGGGCUUGAAUAUGCAGAGUUUUAUAACUUUGCACAUUAAUGUCUCAAAGUGUUAAAAUCUUUUACAACUAAUUGUAGAUAAGUUUAGUAUUGACAAAUAAUUUUAUUACAAUUAAAUAAAAUAUUAGAAUUUUUUUAUUAUCCUACUAAUUUUAUGACAAUCAAAUUUAUACAAAAGUAAUUCUUGGUGUCUCGUGUUACUAAAAACAGAAACUCACUUAAGAACUCAUCACGCCUUUGGUGGAGAAAGAUACUUCAUGGGAUGCUAGUAUUAAUUCUCAAGCAGUGGACCUAGGUGAGAGUAAGAAGAAAACCAAAAUAGUAGAACACUCAUCUAAAUUGUCCCAAAAAAAUGGAGGACAAAAUUCCCAAGAAAGUUCAAUAAACAAGUACAAGAAAAGCCAUGAAAGCCCAUUAUUUUUGGAAACAAUGUCAAAUAUUGAAGAAAUUGUCAAAGCAAAAUAUUGAACUUUCAACUUUAGGCACUUAAACAUACUAAUAAGGGGGGGAAUGAACAUAUUACAUAUGACAGUCCUUUAUCGUCGUAUUGACUUUUUUGAUAUGGUGGUAAAGUAUGAAGUGCUUGCAAGAGGGCUAUUAUCAUAUAUGGAAAAUGAUGAGAAAUCCAUACUAUAUAUGGUGAGCUAGAAAAGAAAAAGGCAAGCUAGUGAAAAGAUGCAAAGCCUUGCACUCUAGUUACAAGACGAGUUGCUUUUGUUUGAGGUGCACUUCUACUCACCCAUUAGCCAUAAAUGUAUGCAUUAUUCACAUGCAUUCACUUGGGUCAAGCAUUUUAAUUGUUCAUCUUCAUUACCAAAAAGAAUAAGUUAUUAGCUAGCUAGGUGAUAGAUGAGAAAUAUGUAUCAAGUUAGAAAAAUGCUAAGUUACAUAAUAGGUAUCACACUGAAUUCUAAAUUUGAGCUACUAAUGUGUGGAACAAAACAUGGAUUGUAAAAUACCAAUACUAAAAGAUGAGACUUAGAUAUAAAGAAAUAAAAUAAAAUAAAGUAGAAAAAAAAUAUAAUCUUAGUAUAAUUAAUAAAUAGAAACUUGUUAGAUGCAUGAACAAAAAAGAUCAUUUUUCCACAUAUAUUGACUUUUUGUCAGCUAUCCCUUUUUUUUAUGAGGUAUGGAAAGCAAUUUCCCUAUCAUAGAAUGAUUAAUAAAUGCAUGGGAAAAUAAUUGAACACAUUAAUGAGAUUCAAAUUCAAGAUUCAUAAGCCAAGGUACCUAUUAAAAGCUGCUAGUUGACCUAUAAGUUUAAGCUGAUAGAAAAAUAAUGAUAUCAAGCUUACCAGGAUUAGAUGAAGGGAUUAUAAAAAAGAUAAAAAUAAAAUUAUUGUGUGCAUUCCAAGAAUAGCGACUUGUGAUUGUAUGAGUGGGUGCAAAAAGUGAAGUUAGCCUAUAAGAUUCAUUUCUCCAAUCCUCUCAACAAAGACCACUAGACUGCUAAAGAAUUAUUUGCUACUACAAAUGAGCAACUCCAUCAAGAAGCUAAGGAAUGGCUAAUGCUUACCAUAGAGAAUUGCACCACUCUUUCUAUUUUCAUAGCCACUGUUGCCUUUGCUACAACCUACAUGGUACCAGAGUAAAAAACUUAGAGAUAUGAAGAAAAGAAGAGAUGCGGAGCACCUAUUUGAGAGAAAAUCGGAGAGAUAAAAACUAAAAAAAUUGAACAACUUAGUAUCAUUGAUAAGAACUUUGUUUCUUAUAUACAAAUAUUCAGAAAUUAGUUACAAACAACUGAUUACUACUCAAAAAGUGCUAUUUGAUAGCUUAUAAUUAAUCCUUUUAAACACUUUUGAGUAGUAGUUUUGGCCUUUUAACUCAAUUGGCAUGUUAAGGACCCUUGAAAGCAAUUUUAAUCACUUUGUGUAAGUUUUGGUGUUUUUGUUAGUAUUUUGAUCACCAAAGCAAUUCAAGAUUGAGGAGAAUUUUGAGGAAUCUUGGGCAAAGAUUGGAAGUCAUUUGCCAAGAGUAAAUCCGAAGUGCAAGGAGAAAAAGUAAAGAGAAUCUGCCAUGAAGCAUAUUCUUGAUGACAGUCGUGGCAGCCACUUUUGGAGCACUUUCUGAAGUCCAAUUGAUGCAUGCUAUAUACCAUUUCAAAGAUCAGGAAGUCAACAAUCUAAUGCUUCAAACGGUGCACAAUUCGGAGUUGAAACGAAGAAGUUGCAGCCAUUGCAAGCCAAUCACUCCAAGCUGAAGGAAGCAUUUUCCAAAGUGUUGCGAAAUCACCCUUUUGUUGCGAAGUGAUUUCGCAGCAUUUUUGUACAGUAUGGUGUAUUUCCUCCUGAAGUUGCCCGAUAUAUGCCGCAAGCUGGAAGCUGAGAGCAUCAAGGUAGAAGCCAACUUCGCAGCCCUGCGAAGAUAGCAUGUUGUUGCGAAAUGAUUUCGCAGCCCUUCUUGAGUGUCUGCGAAAUCUCGCAGACACCAUUUUCUCUUGCGGAAUGGUUCCUGGAGCAUCCCGAUAUUUGCUACCGACAUUGGGAGAUAUUUUACAUCAGAUUUUUGUUGUCUAAAUCCCAAAAUACUCCUUGUAAGCCACCAAUUACAAGAUUCCUUAGCUUUAAGUUAGUAAAAAGAGAAAAUAUCUAUGUAAUAAUUAGUUUUAUAUUAUGUUCAUAUAAAUACCUCUCGGGAGCCUGUUCUCAGAGAGAGCCUUUUGUAAAGUUUUAGGUAAGCAAGUAAAGUUCAGUUCUUUGUAUUACCUUACCUUCUCACUUUGUAUAUUUUAUUUUCUUACUAAGUUAUGAACUCUCUGAGGAGUUUUCCCCAGAGAAUGAGUAACUAAACCUCUAAUUCCUUGGAGCUAAGGUUGCCGGGGAAGGUUCCAAGUGCAAGAAUGCAAAGCUUUGUGGUUUUAGCUAGUAAUGAAGAGGAAGUGAAAUCCUUUAGUGAUUUCUAUGUUUUUAGUUAACUUAAAACACCUUAGAGUCAUCUGGGCCAACACUUGGUAAGGCAAGUGAUUUCCAACCAUGGAAAUGCACUAGUUUACCCUUUGCGAGCCUCUGGAAGGUGACUUUAGGGUAGGAUUUUCUAGAAUAGCCAACACUUGGUAAGCUUUUGGACUCCAAGGAGACAUCCAUUAGUUAUCUCUUGCGAGCUUUUGAAGGGAAGUCCAAGGUUAAAGAUCAUCUUGAAUGGUAAGUGCUCGUGAGAGGCAUGAACCAUUGCAAGUUGUAUCAAUGAGAGAAUUAAAGUUGAAAUCCAAUUAAAGGAUGUAUCUGUACAACACCGGUUAGAGAAUUGACUAUAUGUUGAAUCUCUAACGCGAGGAAAGGAACCAUCUGACCGGAGCUAUGUCUUUUGCAUGAGGAACCACCCCAGUGAACCUAACUCUCCAAGGAAUGCUUUUCUUCCUAAGUUAUUCCGAGUACUUGUUAUGUUAGUUAGUUUAAAUCUUUACCAAUCAAAGUUUGUGUUUUAUUUCUUAAGCUAACCUUGAAAUGAAACAAGACCAAUUCACUUGGAAUUGGUAUCAUUGAUAGCUUGCUAAUCCUUCCCAGUGAACGAUCCUAGAGCCGUUAUACUAUAGUAGCUUUUUCUUUGCUACCCUAGUAUAUGGUGUUAUAGGUUAUAAAUUUUGUUGAUUACUCCCUCUAUCAAGGAGCACCAGUUGGACACGAAUCAGCUGAGACACCAAUUGGGCACGAAUCAAAUGGCGCCGUUGCCGGGGAAUGUGUCAAUUUUAUAGCGAUACCAUUUUUUAGCACUUGUGAUUGUCAUCACAAGUUUGGUAACGUUUCUUUCACUUUACUAAUUCUCAUUCUUUCUUUAUUUAUUCAUAAUCCAAGUUUAUCUUUUAAAUUCAGCUUAGUUUAAUUUUGUUUUUCGUAGCCCUGUUUUCUUUUGUUGUCCUUUAUUUUCAUUUUAGUUGCAGAUAGAUACUAGUUGUGUAUGCCAAAUUGGAUACGAGACAGUGGAGGAAGACUUGUUAAGUGUGAUACACCUCAUAACAAAGAAUUUGAGUUGAGCUUGAAUAUCAUGGAAACUACACCUGAAGAUCAGCAUAGUCACCAAGGUCGUCAAGACAAUCUCAAUGAAUUCAGAUCAAUGAGGGACCGUAUGCAUCCACCUCGUAUGAGUGCACCAUCAUGUAUAGUGCCCCCUACAGAGCAGCUAGUGAUCAGACCGUAUCUCGUUCCACUUCUACCAACUUUCCAUGGGAUGGAAAGUGAGAAUCCGUAUGCAUACAUCAAGGAAUUUGAAGAUGUUUGUAAUACAUUCCAAGAGGGAGGAGCUUCAAUUGAUUUGAUGAGGCUUAAGUUAUUUUCUUUUACUUUAAAGGAUAAAGCCAAAAUUUGGCUUAAUUCUUUAAGGCCAAGGAGUAUCCGUUCUUGGACUGACUUACAAGCUGAAUUCCUCAAGAAAUUUUUUCCCACUCAUAGAACAAAUGGCUUGAAAAGGCAAAUUUCAAACUUCUCAGCUAAAGAGAAUGAGAAAUUCUAUGAGUGUUGGGAAAGAUACAUGGAAGCUAUAAAUGCUUGUCUUCACCAUGGCUUUGAUACUUGGCUAUUGGUGAGUUAUUUUUAUGAUGGUAUGUCCUCCUCAAUGAAGCAACUCCUCGAGACAAUGUGUGGAGGAGAUUUCAUGAGUAAAAAUCCAGAGGAAGCUAUGGAUUUCUUGAGCUAUGUAGCUGAUGUUUCAAGGGGAUGGGAUGAACCAACCAAAGGAGAAGUGGGGAAGAUGAAGUCUCAACUGAGUGCUUUCAAUGCAAAGGCUGGGAUGUAUACCUUGAAAGAAGAUGAUGAUAUGAAAGCAAAAUUGGCAGCUAUGACAAGAAGAUUGGAGGAGCUGGAGCUGAAAAGAAUACAUGAAGUGCAAGCUGUUGCUGAAGCACCAGUGCAAGUGAAGCUGUGUCCCAAUUGUCAAUCAUAUGAACAUUUGGUGGAGGAAUGCCCUACAAUUUCAGCUGAAAGGGAGAUGUUUAAAGAUCAAGCAAAUGUUGUUGGACAAUUCAGGCCCAAUAACAAUGCGCCUUAUGGAUAUACCUACAACUCAAGUUGGAGGAAUCAUCCAAAUUUCUCAUGGAAGGCCAGAGCAACUCAAUACCAACAGCCGGAUCCACCACCUCAACAAACUUCAAGUCUUGAUCAAGCAAUGGCUAAUCUCAGCAAGGUAGUGGGAGAUUUUGUUGGAAAGCAAGAAGCCACCAAUGCUCAAAUCUAUCAAAGAAUUGAUAGAGUAGAGAGUAUGUUGAAUAAUAUGAUGGAUGGAAUGCAAAAUGAUAUGAACCAAAAGUUUGAUAACAUCCAAUAUUCAAUUUCAAGGCUUACAAAUUUGAAUACACUGCAAGAAAAGGGAAGAUUUCCUUCUCAACCCCACCAAAACCCCAAAGGUGUCCAUGAAGUGGAAAGCUAAGAGGGAGAAUCAUCACAGAUGAAAGAUGUCAAAGCCUUGAUCACUCUAAGGAGUGGUAAAAAAAUUGAGCAGCCAACACCCAAGCCACAUGUUGAGAAAGAAGAAGAAAUAAAGAAAGGGAAGGAAAUGAAAGAUAAAGACAGUGAGGUCAGUGAAGAAAAGAAGGACUCUGAUUCAACAAUGAAUGCAAUUCCAGAGAAGGAACUUAUGAAGGAAGAAAUGCUGAAGAAAUCAACUUCUCCACCUUUUCCUCAAGCAUUACAUGGGAAAAAGGGGGUUAGAAAUGCAGCUGAAAUCCUUGAAGUAUUGAGACAAGUGAAAGUCAAUAUUCCACUGCUGGAUAUGAUUAAACAAGUUCCAACGUAUGCAAAAUUCCUAAAGGAUUUAUGUACUAUCAAAAGAGGGUUGACUGUAAACAAGAAAGCCUUAUUGACUGAGCAAGUAAGUGCAAUCUUACAAUGUAAGUCUCCAUUGAAGUACAAAGACCCGGGAAGUCCUACCAUUUUAGUCAUGAUUGGAGGAAAGAUAGUGGAAAAAGCCUUGUUAGAUUUGGGAGCAAGUGUGAAUUUGCUUCCAUAUUCCGUCUAUAAGCAAUUGGGACUUGGUGAGUUGAAGCUAAUAGCAAUCACUCUAUCUCUAGCAGAUAGAUCAGUAAAAAUUCCAAGGGGGGUAAUUGAGGAUGUCUUGGUUCAAGUGGAUAAUUUCUACUAUCCAGUAGAUUUUAUUGUUCUUGAUACAGAUCCUACUGUAAAGGAAGCUAAUUUAGUUCCUAUCAUCCUUGGAAGGCCAUUUCUUGCUACCUCAAAUGCAAUCAUCAACUGCAGGAAUGGGCUGAUGCAACUCACUUUUGGCAACAUGACACUGGAUCUCAAUAUUUUCUAUAUGUCUAAAAAGCAAAUCACUCCGGAAGAAGAAGAGGGUCCAGAAGAGCUGUGCAUUAUUGAUACUUUGGUGGAGGAGCACUGUAAUCAAAAUAUGCAAGACAAGUUGAAUGAAAGUCUUGUGAAUUUUGAGGAAGGUUUGUCUGAAUCUCCUACUGUGCUUGCUACUCUACAAAGUUGGAGAAAGAUAGAAGAGAUUCUACCUUUGUUCAAUGAAGAAGAAGAGGCAGCUGCUGAAAAAGAAAUUCCAAAAUUCAAUCUGAAGCCUCUACCUGUGGAGCUGAAAUAUACAUAUCUUGAAGAAAAUAAUCAAUGUCCUGUUGUAAUAUCUUCAUCUCUGACCAGUCAUCAGAAGAAUUGUUUAAUGGAAGUUCUCAAGAGGUGUAAGAGGGCAAUAGGAUGGCAAAUAUCCGACUUGAAAGGCAUUAGUCCUUUAGUUUGUACUCAUCAUAUAUAUAUGGAGGAGGAAGCAAAGCCAAUUCGUCAACUUCAAAGAAGGUUGAAUCCUCAUCUACAAGAGGUGGUGCGAGCUAAGGUGCUGAAGCUACUUCAGGCAGGAAUCAUUUACCCUAUAUCUGAUAGCCCUUGGGUGAGUCCUACUCAAGUGGUACCAAAGAAGUCAGGGAUCACAGUGGUUCCGAAUGAAAAAGGAGAAGAAGUUACUACACGCCUCACUUCAGGUUGGAGGGUGUGUAUUGAUUAUAGAAAGUUGAAUGCUGUAACCAGGAAGGAUCAUUUUCCAUUGCCAUUUAUUGACCAAGUGCUGGAGAGAGUCUCUGGACAUCCAUUCUAUUGUUUCUUGGAUGGGUAUUCAGGGUAUUUUCAGAUUGAAAUUGAUGUGGCAGAUCAGGAAAAGACCACUUUUACAUGUCCAUUUGGAACAUAUGCUUACAGGAGAAUGCCUUUUGGUUUAUGCAAUGCACCUGCUACAUUUCAAAGAUGUAUGUUGAGUAUUUUCAGUGAUAUGGUGGAACGAAUUAUGGAGGUUUUCAUGGAUGACAUCACUGUAUAUGGAGGUACAUUUGAGGAAUGCUUAGUUAAUUUGGAAGCAGUUCUUCACAGAUGCAUUGAAAAAGAUCUGGUGCUCAACUGGGAGAAAUGUCAUUUUAUGGUACGUCAAGGAAUUGUCCUUGGUCAUAUCAUCUCUAAAAGAGGCAUUGAAGUUGAUAAAGCAAAGGUGGAGCUUAUUGUCAAAUUACCAUCCCCAACAACUGUAAAAGGAGUAAGGCAGUUCCUUGGCCAUGCAGGGUUCUAUAGGAGAUUUAUAAAAAGGUUUUUCAAGUCUUUCAAAACCUCUUUGUGAGCUGUUAGCUAAGGAUGCUAAAUUUAUAUGGGAUGAAAGGUGUCAGAAUAGCUUUGAUCAACUGAAGAAAUUUUUAACAGCAACUCCAAUAGUGAGAGCCCCUAACUGGCAAUUACCUUUUGAACUGAUGUGUGAUGCCAGUGACUUUGCUAUAGGAGCUGUGCUUGGCCAAAGGGAAGAUGGGAAGCCCUAUGUGAUUUACUAUGCAAGUAAAACACUGAAUGAAGCUCAAAGGAACUACACAACUACAGAGAAAGAAUUGUUAGCUGUGGUAUUUGCUUUGGACAAAUUUCGUGCUUAUUUAGUGGGGUCUUUCAUCAUUGUCUUUACUGACCAUUCAGCCUUGAAGUAUUUAUUGACAAAGCAAGAUGCAAAAGCAAGGUUGAUUAGAUGGAUUCUUUUGUUACAAGAAUUCGAUCUUCAAAUCAAAGAUAAGAAAGGAGUGGAGAAUGUGGUAGCUGACCACCUUUCCAGGUUAGUUAUAGCACAUAAUUCCCAUCCCUUGCCUAUUAAUGAUGAUUUUCCUGAAGAAUCACUCAUGUUCUUAGUGAAAACUCCUUGGUAUGCUCAUAUUGCUAAUUAUUUAGUAACUGGUGAAAUUCCAAGUGAGUGGAAUGCACAGGACCGGAAGCACUUCUUUGCCAAAAUUCAUGCUNNNNNNNNNNNNNNNNNNNNNNNNNNNNNNNNNNNNNNNNNNNNNNNNNNNNNNNNNNNNNNNNNNNNNNNNNNNNNNNNNNNNNNNNNNNNNNNNNNNNCCCUAACUGGCAAUUACUUUUGAACUGAUGUGUGAUGCCAGUGACUUUGCUAUAGGAGCUGUGCUUGGCCAAAGGGAAGAUGGGAAGCCCUAUGUGAUUUACUAUGCAAGUAAAACACUGAAUGAAGCUCAAAGGAACUACACAACUACAGAGAAAGAAUUGUUAGCUGUGGUAUUUGCUUUGGACAAAUUUCGUGCUUAUUUAGUGGGGUCUUUCAUCAUUGUCUUUACUGACCAUUCAGCCUUGAAGUAUUUAUUGACAAAGCAAGAUGCAAAAGCAAGGUUGAUUAGAUGGAUUCUUUUGUUACAAGAAUUCGAUCUUCAAAUCAAAGAUAAGAAAGGAGUGGAGAAUGUGGUAGCUGACCACCUUUCCAGGUUAGUUAUAGCACAUAAUUCCCAUCCCUUGCCUAUUAAUGAUGAUUUUCCUGAAGAAUCACUCAUGUUCUUAGUGAAAACUCCUUGGUAUGCUCAUAUUGCUAAUUAUUUAGUAACUGGUGAAAUUCCAAGUGAGUGGAAUGCACAGGACCGGAAGCACUUCUUUGCCAAAAUUCAUGCUUAUUAUUGGGAAGAGCCCUUUCUUUUUAAGUAUUGUGCAGAUCAGAUCAUAAGGAAGUGUGUUCCUGAAGAUGAGCAGCAAGGGAUUCUAUCUCAUUGUCAUGAGAAUGCAUGUGGAGGCCACUUUGCCUCUCAGAAAACAGCUAUGAAGGUGUUGCAAUCAGGGUUUACUUGGCCAUCUCUUUUCAAAGAUGCCCACAUCAUGUGUAGAAGUUGUGACAGAUGCCAAAGGCUUGGAAAGCUAACAAAAAGAAAUCAAAUGCCUAUGAACCCCAUUCUAAUAGUUGAGCUAUUUGAUGUAUGGGGCAUUGACUUCAUGGGACCUUUCCCAAUGUCUUUUGGUAAUUCUUACAUCUUGGUGGGGGUGGAUUAUGUUUCUAAAUGGGUUGAGGCAAUCCCCUAUAAACAAAAUGAUCACAGGGUGGUUCUCAAGUUUCUUAAAGAGAACAUUUUCUCAAGAUUUGGGGUGCCCAAAGCCAUAAUCAGUGAUGGAGGUGCUCAUUUUUGCAACAAACCUUUUGAAGCUCUGUUAUCCAAGUAUGGAGUGAAGCAUAAGGUGGCUACACCUUAUCAUCCUCAGACUUCCGGGCAAGUUGAGCUAGCUAACAGGGAAAUAAAGAACAUAUUGAUGAAAGUGGUGAAUUCCAGUAGAAAAGAUUGGUCUAUUAGGCUUCAUGAUUCAUUGUGGGCAUAUAGAAUAGCUUAUAAGACUAUUCUUGGGAUGUCUCCUUAUCUUCUUGUCUAUGGCAAAGCAUGCCAUCUCCCUGUGGAAGUUGAAUACAAGGCUUGGUGGGCAAUAAAGAAGUUAAACAUGGAUUUGGUCAGAGCCGGAGAAAAGAGAUAUCUAGACCUUAAUGAGAUGGAGGAAUUAAGAAAUAAUGCUUAUAUCAAUUCCAAAGUUGCAAAACAGAGGAUGAAGAAGUGGCAUGAUCAACUCAUCUCCAACAAGGAAUUUCAGGAAGGGCAAAGAGUUUUACUGUAUGACACAAGACUCCAUAUCUUUCCUGGGAAGCUCAAGUCAAGGUGGAUAGACCCGUUCAUUAUUCACCGAGUAUAUUCCAAUGGAGUGGUGGAAUUAUUGAAUUCAAAUGGCAAGGAUAGCUUUAGAGUCAAUGGAUAUCGUCUCAAGCCAUUCAUGGAUCCAUUCAAACCAGAAAAGGAGGAAAUCAACCUCCUUGAGCCUCGAAAAGCCUAAGCAAAGAAGGGUUUGCUGGACGUGGUUUACCACAGUCCAAAAUUUUUGUAAAUUUUGUAAAUUUUCAAGUUUUUUUUCCAUACAUUUGAUCUUAGUUUUUGAUCUUAAAUCAUGUUUUUAGGUGUGUUUUAAUCUUUUUGAAUGAUCCCAGGUGGAAGAAAUUGCAAGGAAAUUGAAAGGAAAAGAAUCGGAUAAAAAACAGAGCAAAAACAGAGCAAAAAACAGAGCUCUGCGAGAUUUCGCAGCCUCUGCGAAAUCAGCACUAUGCUGCAAAACCAUUCCGCAACACUUUGGAGUUCUCUGCGAGAAUUUUCGCAGCUGCGAAGGCGAUUUUGGCACACGAGUGCCACUUUGCAGCACAGGAGCCCUCAUUUGGCAGCUGCGAAACGCAUUGCGAAGUGGUAAAGCCUGAUUUCGCACCAAAAGUCCCAUUCCGCAGGGUAUUUUGCAAUUGCGAAAGCGAUUUUGGCACACGUGUGCCACUUCGCAGCACAGUAACAUUAAUUUCGCAGCUGCGAAAUGCAUUGCGAAGUUGCUGCGAAAAUGACAUUUUGCUGCGAAAUUGGCAUUUUGCUGCGAAACUCAAACUGACCCUUAGUCUUCCCUUAUUCCUAUUUAUACCGGUCAUUUGAGUUGCGAAAAGGGUUUCAAAAUCAGAGCGCGCCAUUCUCGCAGACCGUCCAUCUCCUUCUUCAAGCCUCACCGCGCAAGCCUCCGGUCAUCUUCUCCGACCAUCCGUUCCGGCCAAACUUCGGUAAUCCGAAAUGGCGCGAACAAGAGGGGCUAAGUCUCCAUCUCCUUCGAGCCGCAAGAGAAGCUUGCGAAAGGAACCAGUUCCAGAUCCUAUCCCUGACCCUCCGCAGCCGAAAGCAAUUCCUCCUCCGGUGAAGCCCGCGCUGCCAAAGCCUCCGGUAAAGCCCGCGCCGCCAAAACCUCCGGCAAAACGAUACCUAACCAGGUCAGGGGGUCGGCCACUGCAAAAGAAACCCAGGGUGGAGAGCUUAGAACCCAUCGAUUUGACUGAGCAAUCUCCAGAGCCCUCGCCGGCUCCAACUCCAGUUCCCUCGCCAAUUCAGCCUCCGGUGCCAUCUCCGACGCCGCAAGCAAAAUCUCAGGAGACUCAAGCGCCACUUCCCGAGCCCCAAAUUCCAUCUGAAAUAGCUCCGGAAGAAGUAAUCAGGAGGCCGAUGCUGACCCAGCUCCCAAUUGAGGGAAAUUUGGAUUGUAGAACUCGGCCAUUCCACUCCGAGCUAGGCUUUGACAUAUCUACAUUCCAAUUGCAGCCGGAGCUUGCACAGUCAUUCAACCUUCUAAGAAGGUACCAUAUGGAGCAUCUGCUGACUCCGAGAGACUUUUUCUACCCAAGGGUGGCCAUGGAUUUCUAUCAAUCCAUGACAACCAACCAGGUCAGGGAUCCAACUUUAAUUCAUUUCACUAUUGAUGGGAGGCAUGGCAUAUUGGGAGCACGCCAUAUAGCUGAAGCCUUGCAAAUUCCCUAUGAGCCGACCCAAUUCGAUAAUUUUAGAGCUUGGACCAAUCCUACUGAGCUGGAGAUGGUGCGCACCCUAUCCAGAGGAGCUGCCAAUCGAUCAUAUCUGUUGAGGGGGGAGCUUCCUCCAAUCAUGUUUUUGAUUGAUGCAUUUUUGCGUCAUAACCUCUACCCAUUGCAGCAUUGGACUCAAAGAAGAGGAGUCCUCUUAGAAGCCCUGUACAAGAUGUCUGAAGGAUUUUUCUUUGGGCCUCAUCAUCUGAUUCUGGCAGCCCUUCUCUAUUUCGAAGAGAAGGUACACAAAAAGAAGCUUCAGAGAGCUGAUUGCAUUCCCCUCCUCAUUCCAAGGCUGCUAUGCCAAAUUCUGGAGCACUUGGGGUAUCCUUCUGAACCUCAAUUGGAGCGCAAACGCAUUUGCCGUGAGCUUUUCACUCUUAACAAAUGGAACAACAUGACAGCUUAUCGAGUUGACCAGCCUGAGCGCCCACAGCCAGCUGUAAGGAGAGCAUCCCCACGACACAUACCUGAGGGUAUAACAGUUGCUGCUCCUGCCAUUUGCAGAGCUCCACCAGCUGCUCCAGCUUCAUCUCAGCCAUCCACUUCAGCUGAGCCGAGGAUGGCCAUACCCAUUUCUGAAUAUCGAGAGUUGUGCCGUGCAUUGCAGACCCUCACAGCUUCUCAGAGCAGUCUUGCUCAAGAGAUGGCAGCCAUUAGAGCAUGCCAAGAGCAGAUGUUGGCCACUCAGGCUCAACAAGCUGCCAUCUUAAGGCAGCUCCAGCUUCAUUUCAACCUGCCACCAGCUGUUGAGCCCUCCACUUCUACUCCAGCAGAGCCACACUCUCAUCCCUCAGAGCCUCAAGCCCCAGCUGAAGCACCAACUGAAGAGGCAGAUCCAUCUGCCUAGCCCCAGCACCACCCACUCAUCAGAUCAUUAUAUAUAUAUCUACUAUCUUUGUUUUAUGUAUUUCGUUUUUUAGUUUGAAAGAAAUCCCAUUAUUUUGGUAUUAUAUUUGGGAUUGCUUGUAUUACUUUUCUUUUGCAUUGUACUUAAAUGGAUUCAAAGUAAUACAAGUUUAAUAUUUCUUGUUAACAGUUAGCAUUAAGUUAUCCUUAUUUCCUUUUCUCACAUAUUCUAUUCUUUUUGAAACAUGUGGUUUCUCCAAUUAGUAUGCGAAUUUGAUAUCACACAGGAGGUACCACUUCCUCCCUUUAAUUACAGUCACUCAUAUCACAUUGAGGACAAUGCUCAGUUCGGUUGGGGGGAAUGAGGAAGGAAGUUAUGCUAAAUUAAAGGAAGUAUGCUAAGCCUUUUUAGUAAUGCAAUUAUUUUGGUAAAUUAGUUGUAGUUUUUGUUUUUUACUCUUUUUACUCUAUUCUCCAUGAAUCUUGAGGAAAAAUUUUCAAAUUAAAACAGGAAAAAUUGAACUGUUGUUUUUCACUUGACUUAGAGUAUGGAUUAUGCUCACUAAAGUGGUUCAAUUGUUGAAGCUUCUAUUGAAAUUGAAUUUAGUUCUUCCACUUUAAGCUAUUCACACACUGUGCACAUUAGAUUCCGAUUAUAAGAUGAAAAACUAUUUCCCUCUUGACUUAGGAUAAUUUUGGGACUUGGUAUAUUUGACCUCAUUUGAUAAAAAUUGAAACACCCUGCAAAAGGCCAAUGAGCCUUUGAAAUAAAGAAAGUUGUUUGCUUGCCUUAAAACCCGAGCAAGGUCUGAGAGGUAUAUGGUGAAAAUCUUUGAAGCCUGGUGCCCUAAGCCUUAAUUGGUUGGGAGUCACCGACCUCAAUGCUCGUUACAAGGGUGAAUAGGUAGAGUAGCAUAUGGUAGGUGCUUGGGUAUUAAAAAUUCAUUCUCAAAAGUCCGGGGAAAAAUCCGAGGAGUUAGUGGUUGAAAGAUCCUUAAAGCUUGGUGCCCUAAACCUUAAUUGGUUGGGAGUCAUCGAUGGACCCCCAUUACAUGGACAAUACAGAAAGAGUACCCCAUAAGUUCUUUGUUAAAAAAAAAAAAAAAAAAAAAAAAGUGUGUUCUUUCUUUAUUGAUUUUGGUCAGUUUGCUAAGUGUUGAAAAGAGAUAGGUUGGGGGGAGAGAUUAGUUUAGCAUAUUAUUCUCGGAAGCUAAGGAACCAAUACACAUAGAUUUUUGAGGAAGAAUAAAGUUUGGUUCUUUGAAAGUGGAAAUGAUUUUAAAACUUCAGUUUGCAUAAUGCAUUCCCUUGUUUGACAGUGUUUAGCAUAGUUUGUUAUAACUCUUGUUGAAAUUUGCUUUUAUAUUUCUUUAAGGUUUCAUGAGAGAAUUAGAUCAUCAUGCCACUUGAGAAUUGUUUUUGAUCAGCAUGAUGUUGUAAAUUAUAGUUUAAUUUGUUGUUUAUUUUCAUUUUUCUCUCCUAUAUUGCUAAGGGACUAGCAAUAUGUCGGUUGGGGGGAGUGAUUACUACUCAAAAAGUGCUAUUUGAUAGCUUAUAAUUAAUCCUUUUAAACACUUUUGAGUAGUAGUUUUGGCCUUUUAACUCAAUUGGCAUGUUAAGGACCCUUGAAAACAAUUUUAAUCACUUUGUGUAAGUUUUGGUGUUUUUGUUAGUAUUUUGAUCACCAAAGCAAUUCAAGAUUGAGGAGAAUUUUGAGGAAUCUUGGGCAAAGCUUGGAAGUCAUUUGCCAAGAGUAAAUCCGAAGUGCAAGGAGAAAAAGUAAAGAGAAUCUGCCAUGAAGCAUAUUCUUGAUGACAGUCGUGGCAGCCACUUUUGGAGCACUUUCUGAAGUCCAAUUGAUGCAUGCUAUAUACCAUUUCAAAGCUCAGGAAGUCAAUAAUCUAAUGCUUCAAACGGUGCGCAAUUUGGAGUUGAAACGAAGAAGUUGCAGCCAUUGCAAGCCAAUCACUCCAAGCUGAAGGAAGCAUUUUCCAAAGUGUUGCGAAAUCACCCUUUUGUUGCGAAGUGAUUUCGCAGCAUUUUUGUACAGUAUGAUGUAUUUCCUCCUGAAGUUGCCCGAUAUAUGCCGCAAGCUGGAAGCUGAGAGCAUCAAGGUGGAAGCCAACUUCGCAGCCCUGCGAAGAUAGCAUGUUGUUGCGAAAUGAUUUCGCAGCCCUUCUUGAGUGUCUGCGAAAUCUCACAGACACCAUUUUCUCUUGCGGAAUGGUUCCUGGAGCAUCCCGAUAUUUGCUAUCGACAUUGGGAGAUAUUUUACAUCAGAUUUUUGUUGUCUAAAUCCCAAAAUACUCCUUGUAAGCCACCAAUUACAAGAUUCCUUAGCUUUUAAGUUAGUAAAAAGAGAAAAUAUCUAUGUAAUAAUUAGUUUUAUAUUAUGUUCAUAUAAAUACCUCUCGGGAGCCUGUUCUCAGAGAGAGCCUUUUGUAAAGUUUUGGGUAAGCAAGUAAAGUUCAGUUCUUUGUAUUACCUUACCUUCUCACUUUGUAUAUUUUAUUUUCUUACUAAGUUAUGAACUCUCUGAGGAGUUUUCCCCAGAGAAUGAGUAACUAAACCUCUAAUUCCUUGGAGCUAAGGUUGCCGGGGAAGGUUCCAAGUGCAAGAAUGCAAAGCUUUGUGGUUUUAGCUAGUAAUGAAGAGGAAGUGAAAUCCUUUAGUGAUUUCUAUGUUUUUAGUUAACUUAAAACACCUUAGAGUCAUCUGGGCCAACACUUGGUAAGGCAAGUGAUUUCCAACCAUGGAAAUGCACUAGUUUACCCCUUACGAGCCUCUGGAAGGUGACUUUAGGGUAGGAUUUUCUAGAAUAGCCAACACUUGGUAAGCUUUUGGACUCCAAGGAGACAUCCAUUAGUUAUCUCUUGCGAGCUUUUGAAGGGAAGUCCAAGGUUAAAGAUCAUCUUGAAUGGUAAGUGCUCGUGAGAGGCAUGAACCAUUGCAAGUUGUAUCAAUGAGAGAAUUAAAGUUGAAAUCCAAUUAAAGGAUGUAUCUGUACAACACCGGUUAGAGAAUUGACUAUAUGUUGAAUCUCUAACGCGAAGAAAGGAACCAUCUGACCGAAGCUAUGUCUUUUGCAUGAGGAACCACCCCAGUGAACCUAACUCUCCAAGGAAUGCUUUUCUUCCUAAGUUAUUCCGAGUACUUGUUAUGUUAGUUAGUUUAAAUCUUUACCAAUCAAAGUUUGUGUUUUAUUUCUUAAGCUAACCUUGAAAUGAAACAAGACCAAUUCACUUGGAAUUGGUAUCAUUGAUAGCUUGCUAAUCCUUCCCAGUGAACGAUCCUAGAGUCGCUAUACUAUAGUAACUUUUUCUUUGCUACCCUAGUAUAUGGUGUUAUAGGUUAUAAAUUUUGUUGAUUACUCCCUCUAUCAAGAAGCACCAGCUAGACACGAAUCAGCUGAGACACCAAUUGGGCACGAAUCAACAACUAACAACCUAUUAACUACUUAACAACUCUAACUAACAUCCAACCUCAAGCACAUAGGGUGAGAAAGAACUAUGAGCUUGCUCUAGAGAUGAAGGAAAUGCUGAGUGGAGAGAGCUUUGGUUAAGAUAUCAACAGCUUGGUCUCCAAAUGGAAGAAAUCAAACAUCAAAAGUUUUCUACGGGACUCAUUCUUAAACAAAAUGAUAAUUAAUUUCCACAUGUUUAGCCCGAGAAUGAAGGACAAGAAUUACAGCCAAAUAACAUGAACUAAAACAGGGGAACAAAGGGCUCUUUAAGAAAGGAUUGAAUCUAAGUGAGUACGACCGUUGCAUUGGCCAAGCCCCUAUACUCGGACUCGGUAUAAGAGUGUGAACCACCUUUUGUUUAGAAGCUGACUAAGAGACCAGAUUACCACAAAAAAAAAACAAAAAAAAAAAACAAAACACAGUAGCCACUAGUGCUACGUCUAUCAUUAGGGCAAGAUACCCAAUCGACAUUUGUAUAAGCAACAAGAUUGAGUGAGGAAGAUGGUUGGAAAAAAAAAACCCAUAAAACAACAAACCUUUGAGAUAACAAAUAACAUGCUUCAUAUCUUGAAAAUGAGUAGAGGUUGGAGCAUGCAUAAAUUGGUAAAUCUUAUUAACAGUAUAAGGAGUGUUUGGUCUAGUGAUUUUGCAAUACUGAAGGGCACCUACAAGACUCUAAUAGAAAGUGGGAUCCUCUAAUUUGGUACCAUCAACUAUGAAUAAAACAAGACCAGUAGCCAUUAAAGAAGCAACAAGCUUUGAUUCCAACAAAUCAACAUGCUGAAGAAGAUCACAAAUGUAUCUAUCUCGGCUUAAAUGCAAAGAAAAUCCAAAAUUGAGCACCUCUAUUCUAAGAAAGAAAUUGAGAGGACCAGAUUCUUGAGAGCAAAGCAAGAGUUUAAGGAAGAUAUAAGUUGUUCAAUGAGCAAGGAAUUUGAAUUAGUGACAAUAAUAUCAUCGAUAUAAACUAAGACAACAAGCAUGAUAGAAUUGUUAUGGUAACCAAACAUUGAUGUAUCUACUUAAGAUAUGGAAAAACCCCAUUUAAAUAAUGCAGAAUUCAGUUUCGUGAACCAAGCCCAUGGAGUUUGCUUCAAGCCAUACAAGGCCUUGGUAAGCUUACAAACAAAAUUGGGCUUAGAAGGAUCCACAAAACCCGGGGGUUGUAUCUAAAAACUUGCUCAAAUAAAUCACCAUUAUGAACAUCAAGUUGUUGGAUAGACCAAUUUCUACUCAAUGCCAAAGAGAGAACCACACUAAAGGUUUAACCACAAAACUAAAGGUUUCAAAGAAAUCAAAACUGUGAGUUUGAUGGAAUCCUUUCACCACUAAAUGUGCCUUAUAACAAUCAAUAGUUCCCUUAGGUUUAAACUUCAAUUUAUAAACCCACUAACAUCCAAUGGUAUUCUGAUUAGACGGAGGAGGAACCAUGACGUAUGUUUUAUUUUUCAUAAGAGCUUCAAAUUCAAGAUGCAUAGCCUAUUGCCAUUCAGGAACUUUAGCAGUUUCCUUAAAGGAAUCUAGUUCACAAAGUGGAGGAAAAAUAGUCUUAGUAGGAGACAAAUAUAACUUGAGUUCGAAAAUGCCAUUUUUGGCACGUAUUAUCAUGAGAUGACAAGGAGUAAGAACAUAAGAGGAAAGAGGUUGGGUUGUUGGAAUUGCUGUAACCUUAGAAAAGGAAAUUGACACACUAGAAUUAGAUAUUGGAACCAACUUUGAAGGUGGACAUAAUGGGGGAGGUAAGAGGGAAGGUAUUGGAGAUGAUGGUACUACCAAGGGAAUGACACAAUGAGAGGGGGAAACAGAAUAAGAAGUUUGAACUAUGGAAGACUUAGCAAAUCGGAAAUCUAGUUCAUAAAAAAUAACAUGUCGUGAUAUAUGUAUUUUAUGAUUGGACAUGUUUAAAUAAAGAUAUCCUUUAUGCUUAGAACUAUAGCCAAUAUUUUAACGGAUUGAUAUGCAAGUUUAUGACAAUUAAAAUGAUGUAGAAAAGGAUAACAAAUGUAGCCAUAGACAUGAAGAAAAUAAUAAUUUGGUAGACAAUGGUAAAGAGUCUUAUACGGAUCGAGAAGAGAUAUUCAACAUAGAGGUAGGAAGUCUAUUAAUCAAAUAUAAGGUAGAUUGGAAAACAAAAGGUCAAUAUUUAAGUGGAAUAGAAGCACGAGCAAGCAAAGAAAGACCUAUUUCAACCACAUGUCUAUGUUUUCUCUCCACAUGACCAUUUUGUUGAAAAGUAGAUGGACAAGAUAUUCUAUGCAGAAUCCUAAAUUUACAUAAAGUAUCAAUAAAGGCUUGAAACUCCCCUCCCUAAUCAGUUUGAAGCACUCUUAACUUUAGUGUCAAAUUGAGUCUCAGUUAUCACUUUAAAUUGCAAAAAAACAGAGAUAGCUUGAUUUUUAAAAGCUAGUAGAUACAACCCCAAGAAAAUCUUGUAUGGUCAAUUGGAAAAAAGUACAAAGUAUCUUGCAUCAUUAGCACCAACAAUAACGGUAGGACCCCAUAGAUCAAAAUGUAUAAGAGCAAAAGGCUAAGAGACUCUGGAUUUAGACAAAGUAAAAGGUAAGUGAUGACUCUUUGCCAUUUGACAAGGUUCACAAAUACCUAUCCAAUGUUCUGAGGGCAUACUACAAUCACUCAAAACUUUAUUCACUAUUUUACGUGCAAGAUGGCCUAAUUAAAAUGUCAUAGAGCUACCUUAUUGGGAAGUUGUAAUGCAAAUAACAUACACGGGACCUCAAUUGCCAAGCUUGUUCUUCUAACAAUUUUAUUACCUUUAGAAUCUAUAUUUUUUUUACCAGAAACUGAAGAUGACAAUUUGUAUAAACCAUGGUUAAGGUUGCCUUGGAGAAGAGCCUUCUUUGAAGCUUGAUCCUUCAUCACAAAUCCAUUAGUAAAGAAUUCCAUAGUAACAUUAUUGUUAGUACACAACCUAUUCACACUUAUCAAAUUGGUUGUAAGUUGUGGAACAUGUAGAAUAUUCUUUAGAUUUAAAGACUGAGAAACUGACAAAAUAGUAGAGUAUCCAAUAUUUGAGAUAUUUAAGCAACUACAGUUUCCAACGACAACUUUGUCCAAACCAGCAAAUGGAGUAUGUGCAUUCAAGUUCUUGAAAUUUAAAGUUAGGUGAUAUGUAGCUCUAGUAUCCAUGUACCAACUUCCAUCUGCAAUAGUGGCCAGAGUUGCAAUCAUUGCAGCAAGAUGAGGUUACUCAAUUCUUAGGGUUCUUUUUCCUCAUUGGUUUUUGACUCGGAUGAGUUAACUUAGUUCCUAGAGCUCUUCCUCAAUGACAAACAAUUUUGAUUAGAGUGUGGCAAGGAGUUCAAUGAGCAAGCUGGUGAUUGAUCAAGGCCUCACUAGUGAUGAGGACGUCGGUGAUAGCAACAAUCUAGUUGGAGAAACGAUUUUUUCCAACACCCUCAAACACCGCAAAAAUGAUCAUAUCGUCAUCAUGAUCUUAGAUAAGAGAAACUUAAAGUUUUGUUUAUUCCAAUUUCAAAUUGAAAACAAAAUUGUAGAGCACUAGAUACAAAAUAAAAAAAAAAUAAAAGAACGAAAAAUCACUAUAGAAACCUUAGAAAACACACUAGGAAGAAAAAUCAUAGACAAACUCACAGAAGAAUUUUAUGGCUUUAGGAGUUGGAGCCGGAGUUGGAGAAGAGUCUUAAUGGACAUUGAGGAAGGACAAGAAGAGGUGUUCAACUAUAAUUUAUGUAGGCUAUAUUGUAAAGGUUGGCUUUAAAAUGUAUCUAGUAGCGACCUAAUUAGGGUUCAAAGUAUCGGCCAAGUCUGAUACGACUCGGCCGAGUCAUAUCUGUCUCGACACUUGUCGCAACGAGACCGAUACCAGAUACAAUAUAAUGCAUGAACUCGACUGGGAAUCGGUUAGACUUUGCUAAGUUUUCGAGUUAACUCGGUUGACUCGGUUAGGUUAUAAAGAAUUUUCAAAUUUUUCAUAAAAUUGAAAAUAAUAAUAAUAAUAAAUCAGAGAUUGCCCUUUCAAAAGCAAACACCUAUUUUAAAAUUUUAAACCAUCAAUGAGAAGAUCAAAGAAGACCAAGAAGAAAAAACCUAACCUGUGACUCGUUCGGAAAUAAGUGGAGAAACCACCAAAGGAUGAGGGCAUAAUUUAGGAUUUACUUACUUGAUUUUCCUCAAAAUCGAGCAUUACCGAAGGGUGGAGCUUUGGUGUCGGCGAUGGUGACUCAUCAAGUGGAUUGAAUCUUUCACCGGGGACAUCAACAAGACAACCCCCUCAUAGUCAGAUUGCUCCCCCUCCCGUGUUAGGUCUUGCACGGUUGCAAAUUUGCGAUUGUAGGUGGUAUCGUCUAUUUUGGGUCUUGACAGUAAUGAUGACGUGCGAGGGUGGGAGAUUGGGAGCUUAAAUUAGUAAAGUAAAAAAUUGCAUUUUAUAUGGAUUUACAUGGAGAAUUGAGUCCCUGAUUUACAUGGAAAAUACCUUUCAUAUACACACUUUAAUAUGAUUUAAUAGUAACAUAUUAGGAGAAUUGAGUACCCGAUUUGCUAAAGUAAAAUGAUAUGAAAGGUAUAGAUGAAGUUUAAUGAUAAAUUAAAGUGUUUAUAUAGCAAAGUGAAAAUUAAAUCCUCAAUUUUUAAUAUUAUCACAAAAUAACUUUGAGCUAAAUGUGAAAAAAAAAUGGUUUUAUUAAAAUUUUCACCUUAUUUAAUUAUAUCUAUUUUAUUUUUUGAUUUAUAUAAUAUUUUUAUAAUUUUUUGAAAAUUUUAAUUAUCUUAUUUUACGUAUCGUCCAAUACCGAACCGAAACACUGAAACCAAUAUGCCUCGUGAUCCUCCGAGUCAAUGAUCGAUACCACGACUUUGAACCAUGGACCCAAUGGAAGUGGAGUCUAUAGGAACAUCUAUGGUAACGAUCCAAAAAUUAUUGCAGGCAUAAGAGAAUAUAUAAUAGCACUUUCAACAGUAAUCAUGACUAUGUAUCUUUCCUGGAAAUUUCCCACCAAUCCCAAUCCCAACCCCUUUAGAUGCAUGUGGUUGGAAUAUGCAUGAAGCUAUAUAUUACGUGGUUGGGAUAUGAAUGAGGCUAUAUACUAUUUUUAGUUGUGGAUUUUCUUAGCCCCUACUAAAACUAUGUCGCCAUUUCCUAUUCUUCUUGUAAUGUCAAGUUGGAAAGUUAAAUUUAAUUUAAAAACUUUCUAAAUAUUAAAUUUAGAGUUAGUUUCUAAAUGUUAAGGAGAACAUUUUAUUUUGAAUGAUUAUUUAGUUUUUGUAUUUGAGUAUUCAAGUCCUGAAAGGUCUCUAUAUUUCAUUAUUAAGAUUUUCUAUUUAGACAAAUGUGAGUAUAUUUAUAAACAAAAAAUUAUAUAAUAUAUACAUUUUUUAUAAAAAAAAAAAGCAAUAAAAUACAAUAAAAUUUUAAUUCUCUCCUAUUUUUAUCUUUUUUAUAAGUGUGUGUUUAUCUUUCAUCUAGAUAACUCACACAAUACUAACACAAUGAGAGUAAAAGGAGAAGGGCAAUAAAGAGUUGGGGCCGGAGAUCAUUGGAGGAACGGGUCAACUGUAGGCCGGUUGUCAAUGGGCUCAUAUAAGUAACAAAAAUUGGAAAUGGUUUCUAUAUCUUAGUGUCGUGUCUAGAAGACGACAAUCUACCUGUCAGUGUGCAGCAGAAGAGAAAGCGUGAUAUCUACUUAGAGUCAAAACAAAGGGAACCAGCUCGCAAUUCCUCCGAUACAUCAUUACCGACGUCAUAGCUCUAUUCCCCCAAUUCGUCACUACCAACGUCAUUCUAUCUCCAUUACGCAUUAUUUAAAGAGUCCCCAUGCAGAAGCUGUUCGAAACACAAGUCAGCUUUGACACAACCCCACUUCAUUGUGAUAACCUAUCCGGCACAGGUCCCUGUCCAAAGACCCAUCUUACUCUUUACAUUGUGGCCACUGAUUUGGUAUCUAAUCUCAGGCAAAAUUCACUGGUUUGAUGAAGGUUAUAGAACAAAACUUGUGUUAUUCUUAUCUUUGGUUUUGAUGAACUUUAAAGCAUUUAAAAAGAUUCAACUGGUAAGAAGUAUUUUUGCCUUGGGAAGAUGUUGGUUAUGGAUUAAAAGCAAAAAAGACCCUUGUACAUAUUUUUGGGUACCUGUCAAGCAAAUUAAUGCACAUCCGAACAUCACAACUGUUGUCUCUUAAAUUCUUCCAAUUGACCUGCUUUCGUCUUAUUGAGCGUCUGGGUUACUUGAUAAUGCAAAAACUCAUACAGUUAUUUCGAUAAAUUAAGAGCCUCGGGCAUCAAGGAAAAUCUAUUAUUACUUAAUCGAUAAAUUAAUAAUUUAUUAAUUUAAUUGCUUAUUAAUGAGAUCUCUUGAAUAAUUCUAUUAUGGAACAAGACACCAUAACAAUAUUAAAUAAAUUUUUGUCAUAGUAUGAGAAUACCACACUAGAUGUAAUAUGAGAAUGUCAUAUUUAAUUAGGGCCUUGGCUUAAAAUAAGUAAAUAAAUAAUUAAUAAUUAAAAUAUAAAUACUAGACUCACAUUUUAAACAAACACUUCUAAACUCUCAGACUCUACAAAGAACAUACACAAAGAAAUCUAGGUUCCAGAUUUGAGUGAAGAGAAAGAGAAUUUGAUUUUUUUUGUUCUUUUGUGAAAAUUUCAUGGUAAGUGAUACUUCUUAAAGUUUUCUUUUUUUUUUUUUAUAGUUUUUCUUCUUAGAAACUUUAAUUUCCUAAUAAGAUUAAAAAAGAAUUAAUGAAAACAAGAAAUUAAGAAAAUAAAUUGAAAGUAGUUAAAUCUAGAAUGAUAGAAUAAUAAUAAUAAUAAUAAUAAAAACAAUAGAAAGUUUGAUGUGUUAUUGCCGAAACCUAGAGGAAAAUUCUAUAUGAAAUAGUGGAGUUUAUGUUUUUUUUUUAAUAUAUAUAUAUAUAUAUAUAUAGGAUUUUUGGGAGAAAUAGGUAUCCAUGUAAAUAGAAAUUCUUAUGUGUAGGAGAUAAUAAUUGUAUUAAAAAAAAAUUAAUAGACUAAAACCUGGAGAUUGGUAUUCAUACAGUAAGAUUCCAAGUAUAUAGAAAGUAGAAUUACAUGGAACCUAAAAUUUGGUGCACAAUGUGAUUCUUUAUUUAAAACAAAUAGAAUUUAGUGCAUAGUAGGAUUCCUUGUUCAAAUGAAAUAGAAUUUGUUGGGAGAUACAUGGACUAAUAUUAAUUGUGAAGUUAAGAUGUAUUGUGUAUUGGUGUGAUACUGGAAGUGCAUGAGACAAACUUUUGGAGUGUUGGUAUAGGAAAUAAAGUUUUUUUAAAAAAAACUAAUCUAAUAUAAAAAUAUUGGAGGCCUCGAAUUUUAUUAUGUUAGGAUUCCAUAAUGAAUUAAAUUAAAUCAAAUUAAAUUAAUGUAAUUUAGAUUAGAUUAAUUAUAAGUGAGGGAAUUGAAAAGUUCAAGACAAUAAUUUCAAGACAAUUAAGAAAUGGAAAUUUGAUGUUUUUCCUAGAUAAAUGAAUAAUUUAUAUAUGUGUUACAAAACUAUACAUAUUUAGAAUAUAAUUAUUAUUAGAACAUUUGUUUAAAGAACCCUUAGAAUUUCUCAGGUAAUUCUUAGGAAAUUCUACUGCUUUAAUAUUUGGAGUUUGAGUCCAAUUAAGGGGACUAACUAAAUUUUUUUUUUUAUUUUAUAAAUAGUCAAAUAUAAUUUUCUUUUGAAAGUUUUAAGAAAUUGGAAAAUAAUUUUGUUAUAUUGUAUAUGUUUGCUUACACGUGUGAUAUGAAUUUUUUUGUUUAAAAGAAAAAAAAAAUUAGGACUAGUAAUCUAAUCCUUGUUAAUAAAGGAAAGUGUUUUGACUUUCAUUACCUUUGGUGAAGGUAAUGAUAAUUUGUAAACCCAAUCAUUAGAUUUGUCCUGGCUCCGCCCACCAUCAUGUAAGGAACACAUGAGGUUAGCUAUUUCUAUUAGUCUCAUUACAAUGGGCACCUCUCUAAGUCCAAAUUUUGAUGGGCAUUUUCUGUAAAAAGUUAGAAUUGUUCAUUUAAUAUGUUUGCAAAAUAAUGUUAUGCUUAAAUUAUUUUAAAAAUGACACAUGUAAUAUUAGUUGUUUUGUUGUGUUUAAAAGCAUGCUAUAAAGAUUCCUUAUUUCAUUUUUGGAAACACGCAUACUUGAUUUUCAUACCCCUCAUCGGACUUUAAACUCACUCCUUUUACUAAAAUGUUUUUAGAUAUACAUCUAAUUCUAGCAAUGAGUGAUUCGAGUAAGAGGGUUUUUCAUAGAUCCAUUUAGUUCUUAGUUUUAAGUUUAAUGUCAUAAUAACAUUUUGUUAUUAUAGUUUAAUUUAUCAUUACUAUUUUAGAUAAUAUGUUAUAUUUGAAUUAUAGAUUUCGUGCGAAAGAAUAAUUUUUUAUUAUUUCUUUGAAGAUAUAUGAUCAUUUUGAAAGUUUGCUUCUAAAAUGACCUUGGUGUUUAGCUUACGGGUCAGUAUCGUUAUACUAGACCUUCUAUUUGUAUUAUGAAACUACAUAGAUUUUUCCAUAAUAUAUUAUAUUAUAAAUUUAUCAAAUUAUUAGUUUAGCAUGAUGGCCCUAGGUUCAUAUUGAUUAAAAAAUUAUUUAAUUGAGGUUCUCUAUUAAUUAAAUAUUAAUUUAAUUGUCAGAUACUCUUAUUAUUAUUAUUUUUUAUAAAAUAUUCAAAAAUAUUCUUUGUUAUAUCUUUAACUUAAAAAUAUUUUAAAAAAAACAAGAAUAAAAAAACAUCACCAAACAAGCCCUUAUUUAUUUGUUUGUUUUUUAUGUUUUGUUUGCUAUUGUGGUUUUGUUUAGUUGUCAAGAAGUGUGAGACAGUUGAAGAAAUUGAAGUUUUUUUUUUAUAUAUAUAUUUUUUUAAUAGUAUAGGCAAAAAUUCCAAAGGUUUGAAUUGCUUCAAUUUGUUUGUUUGACUUAUGAGAAAAGGUGGGACAAAUACUUCAAUGAGUUUAUAAUCAUCAGUAGUUAACUUACUUCUCUAUCGAAAUGGUUUAAUCAUUCACACUUAAAUUAAAAGCUGGAUUAUCAAAUCCAUUUCCCUUCAUGGAAACUAGUAACUUGAUCCAUCUACUGGUCAUUUAUGGCUUGAGGUCUUGUGCCAUGCACUCUUAAGUUGAUUUCUAGCUAGAAGUCGUAGUGGUAGGGUAUUCAGGAAUCCUUGUCAUAAAAUGUUGUAAAAUUUAUUUUGUGCAAAUUGUUAAGCUACAACUCAAACCAAGGAGUUAUAUACCAUCUAGAUUGCUUGGAUGAAGAAUAUAGACCAAAUCUAUGUAUGUAUGAUAGUUGUUAAUAGGUAGCAAUAGUGGAGUUAAGCUUCAUAGGAUACUGUUUACUGAUAAAGUUUACAUCUUAUAUAGGAUGGAACGAGUUUUUGAACUUUUGUUAACAUAGAAAAACUAAUUGGGUUAGAAUUCUGGCAUAGGUUUUUGCUAUGGUGAAUCAAACAUUCGGGGGACAUCUACCUAUGACACUCCCAAGACAACUAAUUAGUUCUUCACUAGAAUGAGAUGAUCGAUCUCUAUUUGAGCAAUUGGUUAGAUUAAUCCGAUAACUUUUUUUUUAAUUCUCCCAAUAAGAAAACCUUUCUUAAUUAUUCCAACAUGAGAAAUUUUUUUUCUACCUAUGGUUUUUUCAAUGACUAAAUAUAUUUAUUCCUUAGUAUCUAGUACUUUAAGAAAAACAAAAGUUAAAUUGAUUUUAUCAAAAUCUAAAACUUAAUUAAGUCAGAUAAUUAAAAUAUAAUUAAUUGAAAGUUAUCUUAAGCACAUUAAAUUUUACCUCUUACCACCUAAAAUGAUUUCAAAUUUUAUAGUUGUGAUAGAUCCAAGUUGUCCGAAAAGGUCUAUAGAAUAUGCAUUCUUUUACUUAUAAACAAUGUCUUAAAUAGUCGAGGUAGAGUUAUAUAGGGUCAUGGAUUUCUUAUUUUAUUCGAUGUGGGAAAUCAUAAUACACACUUAUCUCCUGUGAAGAGGGACCGUAACCAGGUUGGCUCAUAUAAAAUAACUAAAUUGGAAAUUGGUCUCUAGAUCUUAACUUUGGGUCGCGUCUAGAGGACGACAAACUACCGGUCAGUGUACAGCAGAAGAGAAAGUGAGACAGGAUACUUAUACAUCUCUUGAAAUUAAUUAGUCUUUGAGUCAAAACAAAGAGGAAGCAGCUCACAAUUCCUCCAAAACAUCAUUGCAAACGUCAUAGCUCUGUUUCCCCAAAUUCGUCAUUACAAACGUCAUUCCAUACUCUGCCUUCCUUAUUUAAAGAGUCCCAUGCAGAUGCAGAUGCAGUUCGAUACACAAGUCAGAUUUGAUCAUCCUCUACAUAGACCCAACCGAAGUAUCUCCACUUCAUCUUCUUCCCCUACAAUGACACAACCCCACUUCAUUGUGAUAACCUAUCCCGCACAAGGCCACAUCAACCCUUCUCUCCAACUGGCUAAGCGCCUCAUACGUGCUGGUGCCCAUGUCACAUUCGUCACUAGCACCUAUGCCAGUGAGCGCAUGACCAAAACCCCCACCAUGGAUGGUUUAAAAUUUGUCACAUUCCCGGACGGCUGCGACAGUGGCCUCAAGCAAAGCGAUGCCCUCCAAGGCUUCAUGUCUGAGCUUGAGCGUCUUGGCUCCCAAGCUCUUACCGACCUCCUCAUAGCCAGCGCUAAUGAAGGUCGUCCCGUUACUUGCAUAAUCUACGGCAUCCUGAUUCCUUGGGUAGCAGAGGUGGCGCAUAGUCUUCACAUCCCCUCCGCACUUUUUUGGAGUCAACCUGUCUCUGUUUUUAAUAUCUAUUAUUAUUAUUUUUGUGGCUAUGGAGAGGUCAUUCGCAAGAAAGUCAGUGACUCCUCGCCUUCCAUUGAAUUACCAGGACUGCCCUUGCUCGGUAGCCGUGACAUUCCCUGUUUCCUACUCCCCUCAAAUGCAAAUGAAUACAACUUUGUCCUUUCAGCGUUUCAGAAGCACGUAGAGAUGCUCCACCGUGACACCAACCCAACGGUACUGAUAAACACUUUCGAUGCAUUGGAACCAGAGGCCCUAAGGGCCGUCAGUAAGUUUAAGUCGAUUGGAGUUGGACCCUUGUUUCCAACCGCUUUCUUGGGUGGAAAAGAUCCAUCCGAUACUUCAUUUGGAGGUGAUCUGUUCCGUCGUUCAAAGGAUUAUAUUGAAUGGCUGAACUCAAAGCCUGAAUCUUCUGUCAUUUAUGUGUCAUUUGGAAGCCUCGCGGUGUUAUCGAAGCAACAGUCAGAGGAGAUUGCUCGUGGAUUGCUGGACAGUGGCCGGCCUUUCCUGUGGGUCAUAAGAGCCAAGGAGAAGGGAGAAGAGGAGAAAGAAGAAGAUAAACUAAGUUGCUACGCAGAAUUAGAACAACAAGGUAUGAUAGUACCAUGGUGUUCUCAGGUUGAGGUUCUCUCAAAUCCAUCACUGGGUUGUUUCGUGACUCAUUGUGGGUGGAAUUCAACCUUGGAGAGCUUGGCUUCUGGGGUGCCAGUUGUGGCAUUUCCUCAGUGGACCGACCAAUCCACGAAUGCAAAGCUAGCCGAAGACGUGUGGAAAACGGGUGUACGGGUGACCGUGAACCAAGAAGGAAUAGUUGAAAGCGAUGAGAUUAAGAGGUGCUUGGAAUUGGUCAUGGGAGAUGGAGAGGAGGCGAAAGAAAUGAGAAGGAAUGCAAAGAAAUGGAAGGGUUUGGCAAGGGAGGCUGUGAUGGAAGGUGGAUCAUCUGACAAGAAUCUUAAGAAUUUUAUGGAUGAGGUCAUACAAGGUUACUAGCUAGAUAUUGUGGUUGUAUCUCUUGGAGUUUAUGUUAAGACUCCCCGAUUAAUUUAAAUAUUUUACAAGAAGAUUUUUAUUAUUUAUGAUGUUAAUACAAGUAGUAGUAUUAAUUAAUGGUAGAGGGCAUAUCUAAAAUUAUGGGAGAUUCAUUGCUUCCUGAAGGCCCUAUCACAAAGGAUCUGUCAAAUGCGUGGCUAAGGUGCUGUUUGGUAAAUGUCCGUUACCAGCCAAAAUUUUGCAAUUAUUGCUAAUGGGAAUCAGGGAAACCCCAAACUGGCCUUGAUGGUCCUUGCGUGAAGACCCAUCCAAUUCUUUACAUUGUGGCCACUGAUUUGGUGUCUUAUCCUCUCAUGCCCAUCACUUCAUGUUUACAAAUUGAUAUUGUAUUCAUAGCUAUUUUUUAUGAAGGUUCAAUUGGCAAGAAGUAUUUUUGCCUUGGGAAGAUGUUGGUUAUGGAUUUAAAGCAAAAUAAAAGAUUAAAAAAAUGAUCCUUGUACAAAUUUUUGGGUGCCUCUAUUAAUUAAGUGAAUAUUAUUAUUUAAUUGAUAAAUUAAUAAUUUAUUAAUUUAAUUACUUAUUAAUUAGAUCUCUGGAAUAAUUCUAUUAUGGAACCUAUCUUGCACUAAGAAGCAUCCAUAGCGAUAAUAAUAUUAAAUAAAUUUUUGUUAUAGUACAAGAAUGUUACAUCAGACCUUUUUUUUUUUUUUUUUCAUAUUAGGAAUAGUUAAAGAUGAGAUUUAAGUAAACAUAAGUUUUAAGAAAAAAUAACACAUAUAUUUUACGAAGGAUUCUUGAUAAAACAUAUGAAUUUAAUUAUAUAUUAGAAAAUUAUUAAUUUUUAUAAUAUGUGGAUUUUAUAUGAAACUACAUAGAUUUUUUUUAUAAUGUAUUAUUUUAUAAAUUUAUCAAAUUAUUAGUUUAGCACGAUGACCCCAAAUUUAGAUUAAUUAAAAAAAUAUUUAAUUGAAGUUCUUAAUUAAUUAAAUAUUAAUUUAUUAUAAAGUUUUAUUGUAUUUUAUUUUCAUGUUCUGAAAACUAGUCGAUUUGAUUGGUUUGAGCAUUGAUUGACUAUGUAUUUUACAUAUGAGAUCGAUUAUGAGUUGCACUUUCAUCCCAAGGUAUUUAAAAAUUAGGAAAAUCAAUCCCAAGGUAUCUAUUUUACUUUUCUUAGUCUAUUCACCAUUGUCCAAACACUCCAUAAGUGGAAUGUAACUUGGAGGGGCUUGAAUAUGCAGAAUUUUAUAAUUUUGCACAUUAAUGUCUCAGAGUGUUAAAAUCUUUUACAACUAAUUGUAGAUAAGUUUAGUAUUGACAAAUAAUUUUAUUACAAUUAAAUUAUUUUUUAAUUUAUAAAAAGGUUAAAAUAAAGAUAUUUAAGAAAUAUAGUACCUUAACAAUUAAAAAUAACAUUGGUUGAUGAUAUCUAAGAAAUUCAAUGUUUUCUUCAACCUAAAAUGAAUAUAAAAAUUUGGUAUGAGGAUUGUUUGCUCGACUAUUGAAACUUAUUGACAACAUAGGAAGAGACAAAACUUUUGGGGAUAUAUUAAUAGAGUGAGGAAUUUGGUACUUGAUUCAUAGAGUAAAAGUUGAACAAAAGCAUCAAGAAACAUCGGGGUUGGAAAUGAUAGUGCACUUUUUAAAAGUCAUAGGUGGAAAGAGGGAAAAUUAGAACAGAUGAACCUUAAUUUUUUGGUAUUUUUGAUAGGUGUUUAGUAAAAUAAUUUAAUAUUACAAUUUAUAGUUAAAAAUGACUUAGUAUAUAAGCAGUUAAAAUGAUUUAGGGCUUGUUUGACCGUGUUUUUUAAAAUUUUCUUUUAAAAUAGAGAAUAAAAAUAGUGAACAUCAAGUUGUUGGAUGGACCAAUUUCUACUCAAUGCCAAAGACAGAACCACACGAAUAGUAGUUAGUUUAACCACAAAACUAAAGGUUUCAAGGAAAUCAAAACCGUGAGUUUGAUGAAAUCCUUUCACCGCUAAAUGUGCCUUAUAACAAUCAAUAGUUCCAUUAGGUUUAAACUUCAAUUUAUAAACCCAGUAACAUCUAAUGGUAUUCUGAUUAGACCAAGGAAGAAUGAUGACCUAUGUUUUAUUUUUCAUAAGAGCUUCAAAUUCAAGAUGCAUAGCCUAUUGCCAUUUAGGAACUUUAGCAAUUUCCUUAAAGGAAUUCAGUUCACAAAGUGGGGGAAAAAUAGUCUUAGUAGGAGACAAAAAUAACUUGAGUUCGAAAAUGCCAUUUUUGGCACGCAUUAUCAUGAGAUGACAAGUAUAGUAUGAACAUAAGAGGAAAGAGGUUGGGUUGUUGGAAUAGGUAUAACCUUAGAAAAGGAAAUUGGCACACUAGAAUUAGAUAUUGGAACCAACUUUGAAGGUGGACAUAAUGGGGGAGGUAAGAGGGAAGAUAUUGGAGAUGAUGGUACUACCAAGGGAAUGACACAAUGAGAGAGGGAAACAUAAUAAGGAGUCUGAACUAUGGAAGACUUAGCAAAUGGGAAAUCUAGUUCAUAAAAAAUAACAUGUUGUGAUAUAUGUAUUUUAUGAUUGGACAUGUUUAAAUAAAGAUAUUCUUUAUGCUUAGAACUAUAGUUGAUAUUUUAACGGAUUGAUAUGCAAGUUUAUGACAAUUAAAAGGAUGUAGAAAAGGAUAACAAAUGCAACCAUAGACAUGAAGAUAAUAAUAAUUUGGUAGACAAUGGUAAAGAGUCUUAUACGGAUCAAGAAGAGAUAUUCAACAUAGAGGUAGGAAGUCUAUUAAUCAAAUAUAAGGUAGAUUGGAAAGCAAAAGGUCAAUAUUUAAGUGGAAUAGAAGCAUGAGCAAGCAAAGAAAGACAUAUUUCAACCACAUGUCUAUGUUUUCUCUCCACAUGACCGUUUUGUUGAAAAGUAGAUGGACAAGAUACUCUAUGCAGAAUCCUAAAUUUACAUAAAGUAUCAAUAAAGGCUUGAAACUCCCCUCCCUAAUUAGUUUGAAGCACUCUAACUUUAGUGUAAAAUUGAGUCUCAAUUAUCACUUUAAAUUGCAAAAAAGCAGAGAUAGCUUGAUUUUUAGAAGCUAGUAGAUACAACCCCAAGAAAAUCUUGUAUGGUCAAUAAGAAAAAAGUACAAAGUAUCUUGCUCCAUUAGCACCAACAAUAGCGGUAGGACCCCAUAGAUCAAAAUGUAUAAGAGCAAAAGGCUAAGAGACUCUAGAUUUAGACAAAGUAAAAGGUAAGUGAUGACUCUUUGCCAUUUGACAAGGUUCACAAAUACCUAUCCAAUGUUUUGAGGGCAUACUAUAAGCACUCAAAACUUUAUUGACUAUUUUACGUGCAAGAUGACCUAAUUAAAAUGCCAUAGAACUACCUUAUUGGGAAGUUGUAAUGCAAAUAACAUACACAGGACCUCAAUUGCCAAGCUUGUUCUUCUAACAAUUUUAUUACAAUUGGAAUCUAUAUUUUUUACCAGAAGCUGAAGAUGACAAUUUGUAUAAACCAUGGUUAAGGUUGCCUUGGAGAAGAGCCUUCUUUGAAGCUUGAUCCUUCAUCACAAAUCCAUUAGUAAAGAAUUCCACAGUAACAUUAUUGUCAGUACACAACUUAUUCACACUUAUCAGAUUGGUUGUAAGUUGUGGAACAUGUAAAAUAUUCUUUAGAUUUAAAGACUGAGAAACCGACAAAAUAGUAGAGUAUCCAAUAUUUGAGAUAUUUAAGCAAUUACCGUUUCCAAUGACGACUUUGUCCAAACUAGCAAAUGGAGUAUGUGCAUUCAAGUUGUUGAAAUUUAGAGUUAGGUGAUAUGUAGCUCUAGUAUCCAUGUACCAACUUCCAUCUCCAAUAGUGGCCAGAGUUGCAAUCAUUGCAGCAAGAUGAGGUUACUCAAUUCUUAGGGUUCUUCUUUCUCAUUGGUUUUUGACUCAGAUGAGUUAACUUAGUUCCUAGAGCUCUUCCUCAAUGACAAACAAUUCUGAUUAGAGUGUGGCAAUGAGUUCAAUGAGCAAGCUGGUGAUUGGUCAAGGCCUCACCAGUGAUGAGGAUGUUGGUGAUAGCAACAAUCUAGUUGGAGAAAUGAUUUUUUCCAACACCUUCAAACACCGUAAAAAUGAUCAUAUCAUCAUCAUGAUCUUAGAUAAGAGAAACUUAAAGUUUUUUUUUUUAUUUCAAUUUCAAAUUCAAAACAAAAUUGCAGAGCACUAGAUACAAAAAAAAGAAAAAAGAAAAUAAAAGAACAAAAAAUCACUAUAGAAACCUUAGAAAACACACUAGGAAGAAAAAUCAUAGACAAACUCACAGAAGAAUUUUAUGGCUUUAGGAGUCGGAGCCGGAGCUAGAGAAGAGUCUUAAUGGACAUUGAGGAGGGACAAGAAGAGGUGUUCAACUAUAAUUUAUAUAGGCUAUAUAUAUUGUAAAUGUUGGCUUUAAAAUGUAUCUGGUAGUGACCCAAUGGAAGUGGAGUCUAUAGGAACAUCUAUGGUAGCGAUCCAAAAAUUAUUGCAGUUAUAGGAGAAUAUAUAAUAGCACUUUCAACAGUAAUCGUGACUAUGUAUAUUUCCUGGAAAAUUUCCCACCAAUCCCAAUCUCAAUCCCUUUAGAUGCAUGUGGUUGGAAUAUGCAUGAGGCCAUAUAUUAUGCGGUUGGGAUAUGAAUGAGGCUAUAUAAUAUUUUUAGUUGUGGAUUUUCUUAGCCCCUACUAAAACUAUAUUGCCAUUUCCUAUUCUUCUUGUAAUGUCAAGUUGGAAAGUCAAACUUAAUUUAAAAACUUUUUAAAUAUUAAACUUAGAGUUAGAGUUAGGUGGUGUUUGUUUUUUUUUUUUGUUGAAAACAAUUUGUUUUCAGAAUUUAAGUCGUUUGUUUUUCUAUUUUUUCAUGACUUAUUAUAUACUUUUUACCAAACAGAAAAAACCAAAAUAUGUAGUUUUUUCUAAAUAGAAAAAAUAAUAUGUUCAUUUUUUUUACUUUUUAAUACUUAAUAGAAAUAAAAUACUACAAAAACAAACAACCUAAUAUUUAACAUUAUUAAGUAUUAAGGUUCUAUUUAGAAUUAAAUAAAAAAAAAUAAAUGCCACAUUAGUUUCUAAAUGUUAAGGAGAACAUUUUAUUUUGAAUGAUUAUUUAGUGUUUGUAUUUGAGUAGUUAAGUCGUCAAAGGUCUCUGUAUUUGAUUAUUAAGAGUUUCUAUUUGGAUAAAUGUGAGUAUAUUUAUAAACAAAAAUUCAUAUAUAUAAUAUAUAUAUAUAUAUUUUAAAAAAGCAAUAGAAUACAAUAAAUUUUUAAUUCUCUCCUAUUUUAUCUUUUUUAUAAGUGUGUGUUUCUCUUUCAUCUAGACAACUCACACAAUACUAACACAAUGAGAGUAAAAGGAGAAGGGCAACAAAGAGUUGGAGCCGGAGAUCAUUGGAGGAACGGGUCAACUGUAGGCCGGUUGUCCAUGGGCUCAUAUAAGUAACAAAAAUUGGAAAUGGUUUCUAUAUCUUAGUGUCGUCUAGAAGACGACAAUCUACCUGUCAGUGUGCAGCAGAAGAGAAAGCGUGAUAUCUACUUCGAGUCAAAACAAAAGGGAACCAGCUCGCAAUUCCUCCGAUACAUCAUUACCGACGUCAUAGCUCUAUUCCCCCAAUUCGUCACUACCAACUUCAUUCUAUCUCCAUUACGCAUUAUUUAAAGAGUCCCCAUGCAGAUGCUGUUCGAAACACAAGUCAGCUUUGACACAACCCCACGUCAUUGUGAUAACCCAUCCGGCACAGGUCCCUGUCCAAAGACCCAUCUUACUCUUUACAUUGUGGCCACUGAUUUAGUAUCUAAUCUCAGGCAAAAUUCACUGGUUUGAUGAAGGUUAUAGAACAAAACUUGUGUUAUUCUUAUCUUUGUUUUUGAUGAACUUUAAAGCAUUUAAAAAGAUUCAACUGGUAAGAAGUAUUUUUGCCUUGGGAAGAUGUUGGUUAUGGAUUAAAAGCAAAAAAGACCCUUGUACAUAUUUUUGGGUACCUGUCAAGCAAAUUAAUGCACAUCCGAACAUCACAACUGUUGUCUCUUAAAUUCUUCCAAUUGACCUGCUUUCGUCUUAUUGAGCGUCUGGGUUACUUGAUAAUGCAAAAACUCAUACAGUUAUUUCGAUAAAUUAAGAGCCUCAGGCAUCAAGGAAAAUCUAUUAUUACUUAAUCGAUAAAUUAAUAAUUUAUUAAUUUAAUUGCUUAUUAAUGAGAUCUCUUGAAUAAUUCUAUUAUGGAACAAGACACCAUAACAAUAUUAAAUAAAUUUUUGUCACAGUGUAAGAAUGCCGCAAUAGAUGUAAUAUGAGAAUGUGAUAUUUAAUUAUGGGCCUCCGCUUAAAAUAAGUAAAUAAAUAAUUAAUAAUUAAAAUUUAAAUAAAAUAAAUAAUUAAUUAAUAAUUAAAAUACAAAUACUAGACUCACAUUCUGAGCAGCCGCUUCUAAACUCUUAUACGCUACAAAAAAACAUACACAAAGAAAUCUAGGAUUCUAGAUUUAAGUGAAGAGAAAGAGGAUUUGAUCUUUUUGUUCUUUCUCGAAAAUUUCAUGGUAAGUGAUACUUCUUAAAGAUUUUUUUUUUCAGUUUUUCUUCUUAGAAACUUUAAUUUCCUAAUAAGAUUCAGAAAUAAUUAAUAAAAACAAGAAAUUAAGAAAUACAUUGAAAGUAAUUAAAUCUAAUAUGAUAGAAACCUAAUAAUAAUAAUAAAAAUAAUAGAAAGUUUGAUGUAUUAUUUCUGAUACCUAAAGGAAAAUUCUAUAUGAAAUUGUGGAGUUAAUGUUUUUUUUUUUAAAUAUAUAAUAAUAACAAAAAACAAUAGAAAGUUUGAUGUGUUAUUGCGUAAACCUAGAAGAAAAUUCUAUAUGAAAUAGUGGAGUUAAUGUUUUUAAAAUAUAUAUAUAUAUAUAUACUAGAAAUUCUUAUGUGUAGGAGAUAAGAAUUCUAUUGGAGGCCUCCAAUUUUAUUAUGUUAGGAUUCCAUAAUGAAUUAAAUUAAAUUAAAUUAAUAUAAUUUAGAUUAGAUUAAUUAUAACUGUGGGAAUUGAAAAGCUUAGGAUGACAAUUAAGAAAUGGAAAUAUGAUAUUUUUUCUAGAUAAAUGAAUAAUUUAUAUAUAUGUUAAAAAACUAUAUAUAUUUAGAAUAUAAUUAUUAUUAGAACAUUAGUUUAAAGAACCCUUAUAAUUUCUCAGGUAAUUCAAAGGAAAUUCUACCGCUUUAAUAUUUGGAGUUUAAGUCCAAUUAAGGGGACAAAUUAAAAAAUAUUUAAGUAUAAUUUUCUUUUGAAAGUUUCAAGAAAUUGGGAAAUAAUUUUGUUAUAAGGUAUAUGUUUGCUUAGAUGUGUGAUAUGAAUUUUUUUUUGUUUAAAAGAAAAAAAAAAUAGGACUAGUAAUCUAAUCCCUGUUAAUAAAGGAAAGUGUUUUGACUUUGGGUCAUAUAAAGUAACUAAAUUGGAAAAUGGUCUCUAGAUCUUAACUUUGGGUCGCGACUAGAAGACGACAAACUACCGGUCAGUGUACAGCAGAAGAUAAAGUGAGACAGGAUACUUAUACAUCUCUUGAAAUUAAUUUGUCUUUGGUCAAAACAAAGAGGAAGCAGCUCACAAUUCCUCCAAAACAUCAUUGCAAACGUCAUAGCUCUGUUUCCCCAAAUUCGUCAUUCCAUACUCUGCCUUCCUUAUUUAAAGAGUUCCAUGCAGAUGCAGAUGCAGUUCGAAACACAAGUCAGAUUUGAUCAUCCUCUGCAUAGACCCAACCGAAGUAUCUCCACUUCAUCUUCUUCCCCUACAAUGACACAACCCCAUUUCAUUGUGAUAACCUAUCCGGCACAAGGCCACAUCAACCCUUCUCUCCAACUGGCUAAGCGCCUCAUACGUGCUGGUGCCCAUGUCACAUUCGUCACUAGCACCUAUGCCGGUGAGCGCAUGGCCAAAACCCCAACCAUGGAUGGGUUAAAAUUUGUCACAUUCCCGGAUGGCUGCGACAGUGGCCUCAAGCAAAGCGAUGCCCUCCAAGGCUUCAUGUCUGAGCUUGAGCGUCUUGGCUCCCAAGCUCUUAUCGGCCUCCUCAUAGCCAGCGCUAAUGAAGGUCGUCCCGUUACUUGCAUAAUCUACGGCAUCCUGAUUCCUUGGGUAGCAGAGGUGGCGCGUAGUCUUCACAUCCCCUCCGCACUUUUUUGGAGUCAAC
This 38471-nucleotide long non-coding RNA is filed under the name Vitis vinifera (wine grape). Its description in RNAcentral is "long non-coding RNA (VVIN_LNC001544)". The record is from RNAcentral. Lineage: Eukaryota; Viridiplantae; Streptophyta; Magnoliopsida; Vitales; Vitaceae.